This 484-nucleotide ribosomal RNA is filed under the name uncultured bacterium. RNAcentral's name for it is "partial 16S ribosomal RNA". It matches the Rfam family "Bacterial small subunit ribosomal RNA", at positions 28 to 507 of the family's 1533-position model. The record is from RNAcentral.
AUUGAACGCUGGCGGCAUGCUUUACACAUGCAAGUCGAACGGCAGCGCGGGCUUCGGCCUGGCGGCGAGUGGCGAACGGGUGAGUAAUGCAUCGGAACGUGCCCAGUAGUGGGGGAUAGCCCGGCGAAAGCCGGAUUAAUACCGCAUACGACCUGAGGGUGAAAGCGGGGGACCGAAAGGCCUCGCGCUCUUGGAGCGGCCGAUGUCGGAUUAGCUAGUUGGUGGGGUAAAGGCUUACCAAGGCGACGAUCCGUAGCUGGUCUGAGAGGACGACCAGCCACACUGGGGCUGAGACACGGCCCAGACUCCUACGGGAGGCAGCAGUGGGGAAUUUUGGACAAUGGGGGCAACCCUGAUCCAGCCAUGCCGCGUGCGGGAAGAAGGCCUUCGGGUUGUAAACCGCUUUUGUUCGGGAAGAAAUCCUCUGGGCUAAUACCCCGGGGGGAUGACGGUACCGGAAGAAUAAGCACCGGCUAACUACGUG